This 252-nucleotide ribosomal RNA is filed under the name uncultured bacterium. RNAcentral describes it as "partial 16S ribosomal RNA". It matches the Rfam family "Bacterial small subunit ribosomal RNA", at positions 524 to 776 of the family's 1533-position model. The record is from RNAcentral.
UACGUAGGUCCCGAGCGUUGUCCGGAUUUAUUGGGCGUAAAGCGAGCGCAGGUGGUUUAUUAAGUCUGGUGUAAAAGGCAGUGGCUCAACCAUUGUAUGCAUUGGAAACUGGUAGACUUGAGUGCAGGAGAGGAGAGUGGAAUUCCAUGUGUAGCGGUGAAAUGCGUAGAUAUAUGGAGGAACACCGGUGGCGAUAGCGGCUCUCUGGCCUGUAACUGACACUGAGGCUCGAAAGCGUGGGGAGCAAACAGG